This 103-nucleotide non-coding RNA is filed under the name Erysipelothrix rhusiopathiae. Its description in RNAcentral is "Guanine sequence". It matches the Rfam family "Purine riboswitch aptamer". Rfam says of the family: Riboswitches are metabolite binding domains within certain messenger RNAs that serve as precision sensors for their corresponding targets. Allosteric rearrangement of mRNA structure is mediated by ligand binding, and this results in modulation of gene expression. A class of riboswitches that selectively recognises guanine and becomes saturated at concentrations as low as 5 nM. Lineage: Bacteria; Bacillati; Bacillota; Erysipelotrichia; Erysipelotrichales; Erysipelotrichaceae. The record is from RNAcentral. RNAcentral also lists the same sequence under 2 other names.
CUAUCAAUGUAUUAAUAACCAAAUAUAAUACCCAUAAUAUGGUUGGGUAGUAUCUACCGAUGUACCGUAAACACAUCGACUAUCGUGGUGAAAACUCGCAAGA